RNAcentral lists this ribosomal RNA (253 nucleotides) under uncultured bacterium. RNAcentral describes it as "partial 16S ribosomal RNA". It matches the Rfam family "Bacterial small subunit ribosomal RNA", at positions 524 to 776 of the family's 1533-position model. The record is from RNAcentral.
UACGAAGGGGGCUAGCGUUGUUCGGAAUUACUGGGCGUAAAGGGCGCGUAGGCGGUUUUGUCAGUCAGGCGUGAAAGGCCCGGGCUCAACCUGGGGACUGCGCUUGAUACUGCGAGGCUUGAAUCCGGGAGAGGAUGGCGGAAUUCCCAGUGUAGAGGUGAAAUUCGUAGAUAUUGGGAAGAACACCGGUGGCGAAGGCGGCCAUCUGGACCGGUAUUGACGCUGAGGCGCGAAAGCGUGGGGAGCAAACAGG